GACGAACGCUGGCGGCGUGCUUAACACAUGCAAGUCGAGCGGAAAGGCCCUUCGGGGUACUCGAGCGGCGAACGGGUGAGUAACACGUGAGUAACCUGCCCUAGGCGUUGGGAUAACCCCGGGAAACCGGGGCCAAUACCGGAUAUGACCUGGUGCCGCAUGGUGUGGGGUGGAAAGUUUUUUCGGCCUGGGAUGGGCUCGCGGCCUAUCAGCUUGUUGGUGGGGUGAUGGCCUACCAAGGCGAUGACGGGUAGCCGGCCUGAGAGGGCGACCGGCCACAAUGGGCCUGCGACACGGACCAGACUCCUACGGGAGGCAGCAGUGGGGAGUAUUGCCCAAUGGGCGGAAGCGUGAUGAAGCGACGCCGUGUGUGGGAUGAGGGCCUUCGGGUUGUAAACCUCUUUCAGCAGGGACGAAGCGUGAGUGACGGUACCUGAAGAAGAAGCGCCGGCCAACUACGUG
Molecule: ribosomal RNA, 462 nt
Filed under: uncultured bacterium
Lineage: Bacteria
Description: partial 16S ribosomal RNA
Rfam family: Bacterial small subunit ribosomal RNA
Source: RNAcentral